RNAcentral lists this transfer RNA (82 nucleotides) under Corynebacterium mastitidis. RNAcentral's name for it is "tRNA-Leu". It matches the Rfam family "tRNA". Rfam says of the family: Transfer RNA (tRNA) molecules are approximately 80 nucleotides in length. The record is from RNAcentral. Lineage: Bacteria; Bacillati; Actinomycetota; Actinomycetes; Mycobacteriales; Corynebacteriaceae.
GCGCCCGUGGCGGAAUUGGCAGACGCGCUGGAUUUAGGUUCCAGUGUCCUAGGACGUGGGGGUUCAAGUCCCCCCGGGCGCA